GAGGUUGAUAGAGGAGAAAUAAGUAGAGAAAAGCCAGUUAGGAUAGUGAGAAGAGGAAUUUGGGGCUUUAAUGAUCAUGAUCUAUAUCAUUAAAAAUGCUAAGAAACCAAAAAUCACAUAUUUUAGUGAUCUCUAACCUAUACAUCAAUUGGGUGCAAUAAAACCGACUAAAAUGAUAUAAGACCAUGUUUUGUUAUGUUUUAAGCAUUAAAAUCUAUCGAUAUAUGUAGAUCAUGAUCAAUAAGAAAGAUAAUCAAUUUAAAUACUUUAUCAUGUAUUUAGCACACCAGCAAAAUAGAAGCCAUCCACUUUUUGUUUCCACAUGAUGCAUAGGUUAAAGACCACCAAAACAUAUGACUCAACCUUAUAGAUCAUAAUCCUUGAAUUGGAUUCCUUAUUAUUAUUUUUGAAGUCGAGAGAAAUAGAUAUCCUCAAGAGGAGCAUAGUCAAUCUCUCUCUCUCUCUCUAUGUAUAUAUAAAUAUAUAUAUACACACACACACACACACAUACAUAUACAUAUAUACAUACAUACACAUAUAUACAUACAUAUACAUAUAUACAUACAUAUAUAAUUAUGUAAUGAGGUAUGUACAUAUUUAUGACUUUCCAAGCAAGAUUGUCAAGAGACCCUGAGGCAUAUCGAAUUGUCUAUCACCAAUUAGCUGUGCAUUAGGCAUGCAAAUGGUUAGUGGUAAGUAACAAAACCAAAAUCCUAUUAGCGAGAUAGAGCAUUUGGGGAAUGAGAAGUUGGAGACUUAUUUGAGGUUAGGAGAGUCUCAAUUAGCUCACAUCACUUCAAUCAAUGUAGUAAGUUAUUCAAUGCUAGUGUUGCUAAAAUCGGCCGAUCUAUGAUUUGAAUCAUAAGAUCUGCAUCAACAAACCAUAAAACAAUCUUGACGGUACUCAAACCAUAAGAUCUGCUUAAAUAUUCUCGAUUCAUUUUCCUUUUAAAGAUUUCAAUUUGACUUUGAAUUCGGGUGCAAAUAGGUGGUUAGCUAGCUAAACUUAGUUCUCCAUUACAAAGAAGUCUCUAUCAAUCAAGAAGUGGUUCAAUCAAUUUUAGGCAAGUUUUGGUUGGCUUAGAG
Molecule: long non-coding RNA, 1086 nt
Filed under: Phoenix dactylifera (date palm)
Lineage: Eukaryota; Viridiplantae; Streptophyta; Magnoliopsida; Arecales; Arecaceae
Description: long non-coding RNA (PDAC_LNC008541)
Source: RNAcentral